UACGGAGGAUCCAAGCGUUAUCCGGAUUUAUUGGGUUUAAAGGGUGCGUAGGCGGAUUGAUAAGUUAGAGGUGAAAUGUCCGAGCUCAACUCGGGAACUGCCUCUAAUAUUGUUGAUCUAGAGAGUAGAUGCGGUAGGCGGAAUGUAUGGUGUAGCGGUGAAAUGCUUAGAGAUCAUACAGAACACCGAUUGCGAAGGCAGCUUACCAAUCUAUAUCUGACGUUGAGGCACGAAAGCGUGGGGAGCAAACAGG
RNAcentral lists this ribosomal RNA (253 nucleotides) under uncultured bacterium. Its description in RNAcentral is "partial 16S ribosomal RNA". It matches the Rfam family "Bacterial small subunit ribosomal RNA", at positions 524 to 776 of the family's 1533-position model. The record is from RNAcentral.